UACGUAGGGACCAAGCGUUGUUCGGAUUUACUGGGCGUAAAGCGCGCGUAGGCGGCUUUGUAAGUUAGAGGUGAAAGCCCGGAGCUCAACUCCGGAAUUGCCUUUAAGACUGCAUCGCUAGAAUCAUGGAGAGGUGAGUGGAAUUCCGAGUGUAGAGGUGAAAUUCGUAGAUAUUCGGAAGAACACCAGUGGCGAAGGCGACUCCCUGGACAUGUAUUGACGCUGAGGUGCGAAAGCGUGGGGAGCAAACAGG
RNAcentral lists this ribosomal RNA (253 nucleotides) under uncultured bacterium. Its description in RNAcentral is "partial 16S ribosomal RNA". It matches the Rfam family "Bacterial small subunit ribosomal RNA", at positions 524 to 776 of the family's 1533-position model. The record is from RNAcentral.